Molecule: ribosomal RNA, 468 nt
Filed under: uncultured bacterium
Lineage: Bacteria
Description: partial 16S ribosomal RNA
Rfam family: Bacterial small subunit ribosomal RNA
Source: RNAcentral
GACGAACGCUGGCGGCGUGCUUAACACAUGCAAGUCGAACGGAAAGGCCCUGCUUUUGUGGGGUGCUCGAGUGGCGAACGGGUGAGUAACACGUGAGUAACCUGCCCUUGACUUUGGGAUAACUUCAGGAAACUGGGGCUAAUACCGGAUAGGAGCUCCUGCUGCAUGGUGGGGGUUGGAAAGUUUCGGCGGCUGGGGAUGGACUCGCGGCUUAUCAGCUUGUUGGUGGGGUAGUGGCUUACCAAGGCUUUGACGGGUAGCCGGCCUGAGAGGGUGACCGGCCACAUUGGGACUGAGAUACGGCCAAGACUCCUACGGGAGGCAGCAGUGGGGAAUAUUGCACAAUGGGCGGAAGCCUGAUGCAGCAACGCCGCGUGCGGGAUGACGGCCUUCGGGUUGUAAACCGCUUUCGCCUGUGACGAAGCGUGAGUGACGGUAAUGGGUAAAGAAGCACCGGCUAACUACGUG